This 484-nucleotide ribosomal RNA is filed under the name uncultured bacterium. RNAcentral's name for it is "partial 16S ribosomal RNA". It matches the Rfam family "Bacterial small subunit ribosomal RNA", at positions 29 to 507 of the family's 1533-position model. The record is from RNAcentral.
AUUGAACGCUGGCGGCAUGCUUUACACAUGCAAGUCGAACGGCAGCGCGGGCUUCGGCCUGGCGGCGAGUGGCGAACGGGUGAGUAAUACAUCGGAACGUGCCCAGUAGUGGGGGAUAGCUCGGCGAAAGCCGGAUUAAUACCGCAUACGACCUGAGGGUGAAAGCGGGGGAUCUUCGGACCUCGCGCUAUUGGAGCGGCCGAUGGCAGAUUAGCUAGUUGGUGGGGUAAAGGCCUACCAAGGCGACGAUCUGUAGCUGGUCUGAGAGGACGACCAGCCACACUGGGACUGAGACACGGCCCAGACUCCUACGGGAGGCAGCAGUGGGGAAUUUUGGACAAUGGGCGAAAGCCUGAUCCAGCAAUGCCGUGUGUGUGAUGAAGGCCUUCGGGUUGUAAAGCACUUUUGGCGGGAACGAAAAGGACUGUGCCAAUACCACGGUUCGAUGACGGUACCCGCAGAAUAAGCACCGGCUAACUACGUG